CUGUCACUGACGCUGAGGCUCGAAAGCGUGGGUAGCGAACAGGAUUAGAUACCCUGGUAGUNCACGCCGUAAACGAUGAGUGCUAGGUGUUAGGCCCUUUCCGGGGCUUAGUGCCGGAGCUAACGCAAUAAGCACUCCGCCUGGGGAGUACGACCGCAAGGUUGAAACUCAAAGGAAUUGACGGGGGCCCGCACAAGCGGUGGAGCAUGUGGUUUAAUUCGAAGCAACGCGAAGAACCUUACCAGGUCUUGACAUCCCGAUGCUAUUCUUAGAGAUAGGAAGUUACUUCGGUACAUCGGAGACAGGUGGUGCAUGGUUGUCGUCGGCUCGUGUCGUGAGAUGUUGGGUUAAGUCCCGCAACGAGCGCAACCCUUAUUGUUAGUUGCCAUCAUUAAGUUGGGCACUCUAGCGAGACUGCCGGUAAUAAACCGGAGGAAGGUGGGGAUGACGUCAAAUCAUCAUGCCCCUUAUGACCUGGGCUACACACGUGCUACAAUGGUCGGUACAACGAGUUGCGAGCCGGUGACGGCAAGCUAAUCUCUGAAAGCCGAUCUCAGUUCGGAUUGGAGGCUGCAACUCGCCUCCAUGAAGUCGGAAUCGCUAGUAAUCGCGGAUCAGCACGCCGCGGUGAAUACGUUCCCGGGCCUUGUACACACCGCCCGUCACACCACGAGAGUUUGUAACACCCGAAGUCGGUGAGGUANCCUUUUAGGGGCC
Molecule: ribosomal RNA, 717 nt
Filed under: uncultured bacterium
Lineage: Bacteria
Description: bacterial SSU rRNA
Rfam family: Bacterial small subunit ribosomal RNA
Source: RNAcentral